RNAcentral lists this ribosomal RNA (253 nucleotides) under uncultured bacterium. Its description in RNAcentral is "partial 16S ribosomal RNA". It matches the Rfam family "Bacterial small subunit ribosomal RNA", at positions 524 to 776 of the family's 1533-position model. The record is from RNAcentral.
UACGGAGGGUGCAAGCGUUAUCCGGAUUCACUGGGUUUAAAGGGUGCGUAGGCGGGUAUAUAAGUCAGUGGUGAAAGCUCCGAGCUUAACUUGGAAACUGCCAUUGAUACUGUAUAUCUUGAAUGUCGUUGAGGUUAGCGGAAUGUUGCAUGUAGCGGUGAAAUGCUUAGAUAUGUUACAGAACACCAAUUGUGAAGACAGCUAACUAAGCGAUGAUUGACGCUGAGGCACGAAGGCCAGGGGAGCAAACGGG